UCCCUCCAGGUUAAGCCAACAUUUCAUGCCAUAUGAAAUUGAAGUUUGUGGAAUUCAAAAAGGCCAAGAGGUGGCAGCAAAGGUUGGCCUCUCCACCUCCUGUUCACCCAGGGACUCUCCCAUCUCAUCCCAGGCUCUGCAGAAAGAGGCACAGACUAAACAACUCCUCAUUCCUAUUUGACUUCCAUCUGUCUGAAGGCCGGGCCUGGGGCUUCUGGAAGGGAGGGCUCCGCCCCACCUUCCCUCCUCCCCCUGCCC
Odobenus rosmarus divergens (Pacific walrus) is the source of this 258-nucleotide RNA transcript. RefSeq lists it as uncharacterized. NCBI's taxonomy places the organism in Eukaryota, Metazoa, Chordata, Mammalia, Carnivora, Odobenidae. The transcript is spliced from 2 exons. The record is from RefSeq and is a predicted model, not a curated record.